RNAcentral lists this transfer RNA (67 nucleotides) under Sphenophorus sp. BYU-CO246. Its description in RNAcentral is "tRNA-Ser". Lineage: Eukaryota; Metazoa; Arthropoda; Insecta; Coleoptera; Curculionidae. The record is from RNAcentral.
GAAGAAAGAAACCCAAAACUAGGCUUCUAACUUAAGUUUUAAGCAGUGUAAUUCUGUUUUUUCUUCU